This 21-nucleotide non-coding RNA is filed under the name Arabidopsis thaliana (thale cress). Lineage: Eukaryota; Viridiplantae; Streptophyta; Magnoliopsida; Brassicales; Brassicaceae. The record is from RNAcentral.
UAUUGGUGCACAAUGCCUCUA